AUUAUCAAUUCGGAUGAGGUGCAGUCUGUUGUUAGGCCAAUCAAGAAGGAUAAUAAGAGGGCUACUUUGAAGAAGAAUCCAUUGAAGAAUCUGAAUGUGUUGCUGAAGCUCAAUCCUUAUGCUAAGACUGCUAGGAGGAUGUCCCUUUUGGCUGAGGCACAGCGCGUUAAGGCCAAGAAGGAGAAGCUCGACAAGAAGAGGCACCAAAUUACAAAGGUAUUAAUCUUUAGUAUAUUUGCCUAAUCUUAUAACUUGCGAUAAUGAGAUGCUUAUGUUUCGGUUAUUGUUAAAGAAUUAAUUGUAAUUAUUUGCCCUUAGAGCAUGUUAAAUUGAGUAUAAAUACAUGAUUAAAGAAGUAAAAAGAAAAUAUUUGCUCAUAGAAUCAUGUUAAGGUAACUCCACUUGUGAGAUUGCCCUGAGUAUGAUGAUGUUGUAGUAUAAAUACAUGAUUAAAGAAGUUGAAAGAAAAUAUUUGCUCAUAGAAUCAUGUUAAGUAACUCCACUUGUGGGAUUGCGCUGAGUAUGAUGAUGUUGUUGUAGAAUUAUGUUUUAAGUAUUGUUGUAUAUUAUGCAGUAGUCUUAAAAAAGGGGGUAUGAUUUAGGUAAAAUUUGGUUUUGCUGAAGAUAAUUAUGGUUCUACUUUUGUGCUGUUUAUGGCUUGUGAGUAUAAUUUCUGAAUCUAUUAGUAGUACUGGACAGUCUUCCAUUUUCUGUCACCCUUAGUUGUGCAGCUCAAUUGUAGAAAGUAGACGUCUGUUUUUGCACAUGGUAUACUUGAUUGUUUUAUUUCAUAAAACAAUCUUGGUUUAGUCAUGUUUCCUUCAUUCGAGUGUGACACGUGGAGGUGAUAAGAAGAUGUUUAUUACUAUUGUGGUUCUUAAGUAUUGUGGGAAGUUAUUGCUUUCUCGGGUUUUAAGCUAAGAUCGAGUGGCAAAUUUAUCAAAAAGUUGUUUCAAAGCGUUGAACUGUGUUUGGCUAUGUUGUGAAUUUGGUAAGUGCGGCAAAGAUGGUCAGGUGCUUGGGAUUAGAAAUAGUGUAUCUAGAUAAUAAGGGUGUUGCUUUCACGCUGUUUCUAUUGUAUUAUUUGUGGUCUGAUGUGAAAGUUUUCUAUCAUUUUUGAGAAGUUCCUCUAAUCUUGUUUAAAUUCUUGUACGCUGAAUAAUACCGUCACAUGUGCAUAACUCUUUGUAUAUCUUAGAGUUGUCACCCAUUUUGUCGUUCUCAAAAGAACUUCAUUGAAACUGUGCAUAAACUUUCUGAGCUGCACCACGCAUACAGCUUGCACUGUUUUCCUGAUUCCAUUUUUUUUGGUUGUAGGAGGAGGCAUCAGCUAUCAGGAGUGCAAGCCACUCGUGGUACAAGACAAUGAUCUCAGAUUCCGACUAUGCAGAGUUCGACAACUUCUCAAAGUGGCUCGGAGUUUCUCAGUAAAGGGACUUCUAUUUAUGAGAAUCAUGUUAGAGAGUAUUUUGUUUACUUGUUUGUUUAGUCUGUUCUUUUGUUCUACUUUGGUGGUCCAAGACAUGAAAGAUAUUGAGCGGGAG
This 1544-nucleotide long non-coding RNA is filed under the name Capsicum annuum. RNAcentral's name for it is "long non-coding RNA (CANN_LNC014780)". The record is from RNAcentral. Lineage: Eukaryota; Viridiplantae; Streptophyta; Magnoliopsida; Solanales; Solanaceae.